RNAcentral lists this ribosomal RNA (458 nucleotides) under uncultured Methylomirabilota bacterium. RNAcentral's name for it is "bacterial SSU rRNA". It matches the Rfam family "Bacterial small subunit ribosomal RNA", at positions 977 to 1434 of the family's 1533-position model. Lineage: Bacteria; Methylomirabilota (SeqCode). The record is from RNAcentral.
GGGCUUGACAUCCCACGAACCUGCUAGAGAUAGCGGGGUGCCCUUCGGGGAACUUGGUGACAGGUGCUGCAUGGCUGUCGUCAGCUCGUGUCGUGAGAUGUUGGGUUAAGUCCCGCAACGAGCGCAACCCUUGUCUUCUGUUGCCAGCAUUAAGUUGGGCACUCUAAGGAGACUGCCUGGGUUAACCAGGAGGAAGGUGGGGAUGACGUCAAGUCAUCAUGGCCUUUAUGUCCGGGGCUACACACGUGCUACAAUGGUCGGUACAAAGGGCUGCGAACCCGCGAGUGGGAGCCAAUCCCAAAAAGCCGGCCUCAGUUCGGAUUGGAGUCUGCAACUCGACUCCAUGAAGGCGGAAUCGCUAGUAAUCGCGGAUCAGCACGCCGCGGUGAAUACGUUCCCGGGCCUUGUACACACCGCCCGUCACAUCACGAAAGCUGGCUGUACUCGAAGUCGCUGAG